GACGAACGCUGGCGGCGUGCUUAACACAUGCAAGUCGAACGGAAAGGCCCUGCUUUUGUGGGUUGCUCGAGUGGCGAACGGGGGAGUAAAACGUGAGUAACCUGCCCUUGACUUUGGGAUAACUUCAGGAAACUGGGGCUAAUACCGGAUAGGAGCUCCUGCUGCAUGGGGGGGGUUGGAAAGUUUCGGCGGUUGGGGAUGGACUCGCGGCUUAUCAGCUUGUUGGUGGGGUAGUGGCUUACCAAGGCUUUGACGGGUAGCCGGCCUGAGAGGGUGACCGGCCACAUUGGGACUGAGAUACGGCCCAGACUCCUACGGGAGGCAGCAGUGGGGAAUAUUGCACAAUGGGCGGAAGCCUGAUGCAGCAACGCCGCGUGCGGGAUGACGGCCUUCGGGUUGUAAACCGCUUUCGCCUGUGACGAAGCGUGAGUGACGGUAAUGGGUAAAGAAGCACCGGCUAACUACGUG
RNAcentral lists this ribosomal RNA (468 nucleotides) under uncultured bacterium. Its description in RNAcentral is "partial 16S ribosomal RNA". It matches the Rfam family "Bacterial small subunit ribosomal RNA", at positions 28 to 507 of the family's 1533-position model. The record is from RNAcentral.